AACUUAACUAGAAAUGUGAAUCAAUUAGGAUUCGAAUUUGGGACCUCGAGUACCAACCACCAAGCCCUUUGCCACUUGCGCUUGGGACAGUCGGUCCAAACAACGUAUUAAUGCACCACAUCGACAUUUUACUAUAUGACGCCUCGACUUCCCACCGAGCCACCCAUCCUAGGACUACUCCGUCCAAGCACGCUUAACUCUCUUAACUUCUUAGGUCUAUCCACCGCCCAAAAUGCUUAAGUCAGGAUAAGAGUUUAGCCCUAUUAUAUCAUAUAUAUAUAUAUAUAUAUAUAUAGGACUACUUGGGCCCCCCACUUUUAAGCCCUGACGUCCUCAUUAGGCUUAUACUCACAAGUAUCAGAUGAUGUAAGAUUCGUCUCUCUAACCUAAAUUGACAUUGUGGUGAGCCGCGCUCCACCCACAACGGUCAACAGUAUGAGAGCCUUGCUCUCCCUGUUGUAUAAUCUUUGCUUAGCCGAGCCUUAUUUCACACUUUCGGCUGGUAAUUGACUCUGAUACCAACUAUGACGCCCCGACUUUUCAGGGGGUCAUCCAUCCUAAAACUACUUCUGUCCAAGCACACCUAACUCUCUUAACCUCUCGGGCCUAACCACGGCCCAAAAUACUUAAGCCGUAUUAAGAGUUUAGCCCUAUUAUAUCAUAUAUAUAAGACUAUCUGAGAUCUCACAUACUAUGCCAUGGCUCGCUAUCCACAUAUCUAUCU
Molecule: long non-coding RNA, 724 nt
Filed under: Ananas comosus (pineapple)
Lineage: Eukaryota; Viridiplantae; Streptophyta; Magnoliopsida; Poales; Bromeliaceae
Description: long non-coding RNA (ACOM_LNC026320)
Source: RNAcentral